UGAGCAAUCUGCCCUUCUCAUCGGAAUAAGCGUUGGAAACGACGUCUAAUGCCGAAUACGACCUCCUUUCGCAUGAUCGGAGGUGGAAAGCUCCGGCGGAGAAGGAUGAGCUCGCGGCCUAUCAGCUAGUUGGUGUGGGUAAUGGCCCACAAGGCGACGACGGGUAGCCGGCCUGAGAGGGUGACCGGCCACACUGGGACUGAGACACGGCCCAGACUCCUACGGGAGCAG
Molecule: ribosomal RNA, 231 nt
Filed under: uncultured bacterium
Lineage: Bacteria
Description: partial 16S ribosomal RNA
Rfam family: Bacterial small subunit ribosomal RNA
Source: RNAcentral